Molecule: unclassified non-coding RNA, 695 nt
Filed under: Hevea brasiliensis (rubber tree)
Lineage: Eukaryota; Viridiplantae; Streptophyta; Magnoliopsida; Malpighiales; Euphorbiaceae
Source: RNAcentral
CAAUGAAUAAAUAUUUUAUAAAUAGAAGAAAAUAUGUAUUUUAUUAAAUAUUCUAUAAAUAAAAUAAGCAAUUUUUAUGCCCCCAUUGACCAAAAAUUCUGGCUCCACAGCCUAAAAUAGACAGAAAAUUCACUUUGUAAGCUCCCUUAGUCCAAAUAAGGAUAUAUCAAUUUAAUUUUUCAAACAGGAAAUUUUCACGGUUAAAACAUUAUCAUGGGUUUCCAAGGAUUAGAACAUUUCUUGUUUUUUGUUUGUUUUGUGUUUUCUCAACAACAUUUUACAGGCUUCUCUAAUAAUUGCACUUUAUUUACAUAAUUUGCAAUAUUCAUGAGGCACUUUUUUUAUACAUUCAGAUGUACAGGAAUUUAUGUGUUACUUUCUCUUUGACAAUUUUUCCAAAUGCUGUGGAAACUGAUAUUAAUCAAUUCAAGAUACCACAGGAUAGGGAUACCUUAUUUGUGUCUCUUGAAAAAUGGAUAUCUUUAGAAAAGAUUUUAAAUUAAAUAUUUCCCCCCUCUCACUUAGACCAAUACAAUUCUUGAGUUUGAUAUGCCCAAGACCAAAUACAUCUAUAAACCAAUGCAAGUGUAUAUCAAACCACUCACUUUCCAUGUUAAGGACUUUGAAAAUAAAUACCAGAACAUCUAACAAAAGUCAAUUCAAUGUGGAGUGAUGGAAAUUGAAUUAACUGGCCU